Molecule: long non-coding RNA, 764 nt
Filed under: Ananas comosus (pineapple)
Lineage: Eukaryota; Viridiplantae; Streptophyta; Magnoliopsida; Poales; Bromeliaceae
Description: long non-coding RNA (ACOM_LNC018461)
Source: RNAcentral
UUUGGAAGCAUUGAUCAAUCCAAAAUUUUCAGGAAUAAUUAAAGAAAAAGCUAAAUUACAGAAAAUAUUCUUGUCAAUACUUUUUUUUUAUUUUUUUUCUUCUGUUAUUUAAAAAUCUAUAUUUUGCCAUUUAAAAAAAUCAGAAAUAUUCACUCUGGCCUCUGCCGUCAGUAUUCCGUUAGGAUUCCAUUUAUAUUCUAUUAUAAUAUAUUUUUUAUACUCAAAAUACUCUCAGCCUCCUCUUCUGAUCGGUAUUGCCGCCUUCCUUCUCGCCACCCACGCCGCCUCGCCCUACUUCGCCACUUUUCCCUCCUUCGCUGCCUCGCCCUCGCCGACCCCUCCAUCCGUGCUCACACAUACGCUCUCGCGCUCCUUUGCCGUCUCGCCCUCGCCCUCGUCCUCGCCCUCGCUCACCUCUCCAUCUAUGCUCACCCCAAUCUCCUCCUACCAUUGCCGAAAUGAAGGAGCGACGAGGGUGCAGGAGGAGUGGAGGAGCAGGUGGAGAAAAUGGAGUUGGAGUUGCAAUUGAGCGAGGUGCGAAGAACAGAAGAGGACAGAUGAUGGUCGAGCAAGAUUGGAGACGAAGAUGGUGAAGGCAAUUUGUUCAUUUCGCUAUUACAAUUAACACCGUAUCCCCUGUGAACAUUUCUAAUUUUUUAAUGAGGUAAAAUGCAGGUUUUUAAAUGCCAGCGAAAAAAGUGAAAAAACGAGUAUUUACAAAAAAAUUUUAUAUAAUUUAACCUAAAAAAAAAAUUAAAAAUAUA